RNAcentral lists this long non-coding RNA (25860 nucleotides) under Ananas comosus (pineapple). Its description in RNAcentral is "long non-coding RNA (ACOM_LNC018619)". The record is from RNAcentral. Lineage: Eukaryota; Viridiplantae; Streptophyta; Magnoliopsida; Poales; Bromeliaceae.
UUUUUUUUUUUUUUUUUUUUAAAUUUAACUGAAAAAUUUUUAUAAAUAUUUAUUUUUUUAUUUUUUUCUUUUGAUUUUUAAAAAUUUAUAUUGGCUCUCUUACAAUUUCAAAAAAUUUAUAUUACCGACCGUCCCUAGAGCAAGUGGCAAAGGGUUUGAUGGUUGGUACCCGAAACCCAAGUUCGAAUCUUAAUCGAUUCACAUUUCCAGCUAAGUUUAUUUCUAAAUGAAAUAAACGAAGCGGAUAACGUGCUACAUAUCUCUCAAAAAAAAGAAUUACGUUAUCAAUGGAGAUUACGAAAUUACCAAAUUAUCUUUAUUUCUUUUAUAAAAAAAAUUUCUUAAUAUAUUUUAUUAUUUUUAAAAAUACUUUCAGUAUAAAUUAUAAAAAAAAAUAGAUAAAAUAGUAAUAAAAUCCUGACGGACGGAAAAUAAGGGAGGUAAAAUAUAGAUUUCUUAAAGUGAGAUGCUCAUUUAUGACGCCUAAUUAAUAGUUAUUACUAGUUAUAAGGAAUAGGAUGGUACAUCUUAUGCCCUGUGAUUUUAAAUUUAAUAAUAUUUUUUGGGUUUUUAGUAUAAAAAAUUAUAAAGUAAUGAACUAAAUCUUAAUAUUUUAAAGACUAGAGUGCAAAAUUUAUAUCCAUAUUGUCGGCAUAGAUAGCAUUGCUCCUAAAAAAUUACUCUUUUCUCUGUAAUUAAAAUUUAACAAAUUUUAAUAAAUUUAUUAUCAUAUUUUAUUUUUCUAAAAUAUGUUUUCUGUAAUUAGAUUUGGUGGAUGGACUUUUAUAUUUUAUUAUGAUUAGUUUACUUGUAAUAUUUUCUGAUUAAAAAUAUAAUAAUUUAUUAGAAAAUAAAAAAAAUGUAAAAAACAAAAGAAAGAAAGAAAUCUUAGAAGUCCAUUUAAUUACUAUUGAGGUGGGUACAAAAUGAAAACGAGUAUGAAUAUAUUUAACACGUUAAAUGAUAAGAGUAGUCAAAAUUUGGGUUUAAGCAUUAGCCCAACGAGAAACUGUUAUUUAAUUAAACCCCCUCAACUUCAUGCCAUUUUGAUCAUAAAUUUGUCAACUAUAUAUAGUUUUUGUGUAUAAAUUUUUUAAGUAUUUUGAAUUCGGUUCUCUUUUAGUUACUUAAAAAAUUUUGUUAAAUAGUUCUGUUAGAUUAUUCUAAUUUUAUUUGCUAAAUGGUGAUUAAAACUACCAAGUUUGACGAGGUCAUUUAUGAAUUUAAUGAAAUCUCCAAUUUACUUCACUAAAAAUCACUCAAAUUAAAAAAAAAAAACAAUCAAAUGAUAAGCAAUUGAAAAAAAAAUAGAUCAUUGAAGGGUCAUUUCAGAAAUGAAACCACAAAAUACGUCUUCUUCUUGUCCUAUUUCACUUAUAUAUUAAAAAAAUUGAUAUUGCCAAAAUAAUUUCUUUUUUUUUUUCCAGAGCAAACAUGUUGAAAUUAUGAUUUUAUAUUGAGCAAUGCUCUCAUAAUAUUAAUUUCCAAAUCUUUUCAUCUUUUCACUAAAUUCAAUUGUUAGAUCUAUUUCAUUUUCAUCCUAUUUGAAAUCUUACAUUGUACUUGGAGAAUCUCUUUUUUUUUAAUUGCUUUUAAUAUAAUUAAAUUUCCCAAUCUCUUAUAUCAUAAAUGGGAGAAUCUUAAUAUUUUUUUUUCCAUAUCAUGAACAAAAUUGAUUAUUACUGCUCAUUAAAGCUUUUUGAGUACACAUUUAAUGCAAAUCAGCAGGACUAAAUUUGGAAAUCCAUAAAUAGGAAGAUUUUUCUGUUUUGGUAAAAAUGUAGGGAUCCACUUCAAUUUUUUAAUUCUCUAAAUUCCAUUUUUUCCUGAAUUGAAUUUUUUUAGUUAAAUAACUAAAAAAAAUUGUUAGUUUUUAUGACUCAUCUAGCUAUUAGUAGUUAGUUAAUUUACUUUUAUUACUAUGCUAUAAAGUAGUUUAAACUAUUUAAUUAUUAAAUUAUAAAUCAAUUUAGCAAAAUUUUUAAUUUAUUUGAUUAAAAUCACUUAAUUUUUUUUUAAAAAACUUAAAUUAAGAAGGUUACAAUAAAAACAAUUAUAAUUGAGGGGUUAUCUCCAUGCAUUUUUUUUUUAUUUUUUUUAUUUUUUUUUCAUGUACAUUUGAAAAAUUAUUAAAUAAAGACGCAAAAAAAUAAGAAACAGAAUAGCAUUAAGACUUCGUUUGAAACUGCAAGGAGAUUGCUUUACGUGUGAUGAGAAAGUACGAUAAAAAAAUAUCAUAUUUGUUUCCGUAUGUAAUAUUGUGUUCUGCAUAUUCUGUGGUCCCAUCCGAGAACGCAGAAGUAUAUUUCUAUAUGUUUUCAUCUUAAUUUUAUUUUAUCUAAUAACGCUAAAUAUAUCUCAAUACCAAACUAAGCCUAAAAGAAAAAAAAAGUUAUCCAUAAAAAACAAAAAAAAGUUGAAACCGCGUUGAAAUUAAGGGGUCCAAAUCCAGACCCUCUCUCUCUCACUCGCUCUCUCGUCCACUUCUCUUUCGCACUCCCACCAAUUAAACUACAACCACUAUUUAUUCUCCUUUUCUGUUUUGGAAAAGGAAUACCUUCUAUAUGUACACACACACACACACACACACACACGCGCAGACAUAUAUAUAUAUAUAUAUAUAUAUAUAUAUAUAUAUAUAUAUAUAUAUAUAUCUUAUAGGAAGCUAUAUCAUGUUAAGCAUAGUCAAUUUGCAUGACUAAAUUCAGUUGUUAAAAAAAUAAAAUAAUAGCUAGAAGUAUAUGAAAUAUAUAAAUAAUAACUUAACGUAUCUAGCUUAAGAAAAUUUUGGUUGGCGUCUCAGGCUCCAAUCUCCGCAUCAUACUUUUUAAUCUACGAAAGAAAUUUUGCCCACAACAGUAUCUACUCAAAAAAAUGAUCAUAAUAUGAAAAUAAAACAAAAAAAUCAAUCUUAAAAAAAUUAAUAUUUUUUUGGAGCACUUCUCUUACUCAUUCAAAUCUUAUACAUCUUCUUAAUCUUCAGCUGGUAGUUGCUCCGCGCGUCGAGUCAUUUCUGGAUUUCUAUUGUAACCUAUGAACAAACACCUCAUCUGUAUCACCAAACUGCGAUAUCUAAACCGAUACAGCCUUACCAUCACAUCAACUACAGAAAUCCUUAUUCAUAAACAAUUUGAUUUACCAAGAAGUUCCUGCGAUUCUUGAGAAGUGAGCUUCCGCGCAACGUCGCCGCGAAGAGGAGGCUAGGACGGCGCUCCCUUCGGCCUAGUUGCGGGCACGUGCGAGCCGUGCGAGGAGGCAGCCGAGGCGGCGGCGGUUCACGGCAAGCGACGGCUCCGGUGCAGACCAGCCCAGCGAGCACUUAUAUGGGCCGCGGCUGGACUUUACAGGACGAUAUUUUUUGAAUGAGACAACGUUCUUCACAUAUUCUUCUUCUUUAUCAUCCUCAUAAUCUUUGUUAACACAAUGAGAUAGAGAGAAGGAGAUGAGUAUGGGGUGAGAGAUUAGAUGAUAAUGUUUCUUUUUGCAUGAAAAAUAAUAUGUCAUGCAAGAAAGAGGGGGUGAGAGGAUUAAUAGUGGAGGGAAGUAGAUUGGUGUUACAAAGCUCAUUAAUUAAUAAAAUAUAAUGCAUGUAAUUAAAUGUGGAGAGGUGAAGGGUUGAGCAUUUAGAAGUGGAGAUUAAUGGUGGAGGGGAGUGGAUUGGAAUUACAAAGCUCAUUAAUUGAUAGAAUAUGAUGCAUGCAAUUAAAUGUGGAGAGAUGAAGGGUUUAGCAUAGCAUUUAGAAAUGAGGAUUAAUAGUGGAAGGGAGUGGAUUGGAGUUACAAAGCUGACUAAUUGAUGAAAUAUAAUGCAUGUAAUUAAAUAUGGAGAGGUGAAGGGUUACGUAUUUAGAAGUGGAGAAAAAACGUAAAUUUUAUAUUGGAGAUUCAUAUAAGAAAUAAAUAUUAUUUAUUAACCUAAGAAUGAAGGAUUUCUUGUCACGUGGCAAGAAACAUUAUGGAUUCAUUAUGUUUAAUAUAUAUAUAUAUAUAUAUAUAUAUAUAUAUAUAUAUAUGCACACAACACUGUAGUGUCACACAAUCCAUGUGCAUGCCUUUUGACUCCAAUGUACAUGUUUAGAGCAAUGCUAUAUAUGCACCUCUAUUAGUAGGAUAUAAUUUUCAUGCUUUACACAUGAGAAGAUUAAUAUAUUUUAAUUAGUCUUAUCAACUUUUUUUUAAAUACUAAAAGUUUAAAAAAAGAUUUUACAUUUGUGGAUGAGCAAAGUGACCGCAUUUUUUGCGUUUACCUGGUUUGUAGUUUUUCACCAUUUUUCUUCAUUAAUAGAAGUUGAUAAUUGUGGUUUUAAGGUCAAAUUAGGUAGGAGAAUAUAAGGGAAGGUAGAGAGUAAAUUCUGAAUAUUUUAUUUGACAUAUUUUUUAUUUAUUUAAAAAGUAUAUAGUAUUUAGAAGAUGAAGAGUGUGAUUAAAUGUUUAUAAUGAAAAUUAUGAUCCACUUUAAAUUAUUUUUUUCGAAAUAAAAAAUUUAUUUUAUAAGUAAAAUAUAUUAUUAUAUCAAAUCAUAAAUGUCAGAAACUUUAAAUGAAUAUAUAAAAAUCAAACUUUACCUCCCAAUCACACACAAAAAAAACCCUUCAAACUGGACAUAUUAUCAUCAAAUAUUUUUUUAUUACAAUAUCCAAAAAGACCAAGGUAUCAAAUUUGGAGCUCUCCCUAUCACAAUCCUUUUGUAACUUAAGUUAUGUGAAAGACCUUCAAAGUUAGAGCAAUAUUAGGAGGUGAUAUUUUAAGUUAUGGACUUAUUAAAUGUGGCUAGUAUUCACUGAAUUCAAUUAUACUAAGCAAACUUUGAUCGAUUUCAAUUAAAAUUGAAUCUAAUUAUACGAAGCUAGAAUAUUAUCUUUGUAAAAGCCAAAUAUAUACGAAUUUUUAGUUAAUAAGUUUAUCGUUAUUUAGGAUUUUUCUAUCAACUAAAUUAUAUAAAUAAAAGGGGGCAAGUUUUCUAAACCUCCACAAACAGAAUUUUUCUAUGCACAGAAACAUCUCGCCGCACAUCCAACGAAACGAAUUCUGCAGCUAAGAUAACUCUAUAUGCUGAAAAGAAUGCAUGUAAUCUGCCUCCAAAUAUGAUGCUAUCAGAACACCAAUUAAGAGACAGACAAUCGAAUCAAAUCACAUUAAAUUCUUGACCGUUAUAAUUUUAUUAGUGGAUCAUUAAUUGCGGAUAAAGUACACCAUUUAGGAAUUUUUAUUUUUUUUAAAAAUUUUCUUUUUAGGGUCCUUAUUUGACAACCAACCCCCAUUCUUGCCUUGUUUAGUACUUGCAUUUAUUUCUUUGUCUACUGCACUCACAGUAUGCAUGUUUGAGUGUCUGGGACUCCACAGAGCUGCUUCAGUUGAUCGAUCCAUAGUACUUAAUAAAUGUAACUUUUUCGAGUCCUAACUAUGGUGCCCUUCCCGUCUCACCUUAGAUCUAUUUUUUAUUAGAUUGAUUUUUCUUAAUAUAUAAUUAUUUAUUAAAAAAUUAGAAAAGAAAUUCUUACAAUAUAUGCAUGGAGCUGCAAGCUUUUUGGCUCAAGUUAUUGCUAUGAUUUGACUUCCUAAAGCAUGCUAUGUUCUGCAGCUUUGCUCGGAUAGGAUUUGGAUGGACAAAAUUUGAUCGAUUUCGGGCUCAGAAAGAAGAAAAUUCGAGUAUCUGAGAUUUCAAUUUGAAUCUUUAGAUGACAGAAACUUCAGAAAGGUGUGCUACUGAAGCUAUUGGAUUUAUUUCUAAAAACUGCUGCUACUCUUGGCUAGAAGUAAAAAAAUUAAGACUAAUCUACCUUUGGUAUGAAUAGAAAAAAAAAAAAAAAAAUUUGAGAAAAAGGUAGCACGCUAUCUACUUUAUUUAUUUAGAAGGUGAAUUAAACUAUAUUAGUGAGGCAUCAUAUAUAGGCCUCGAGGAUGGCGAAAAUGAAACGACAAAAAAACAAAAAAAAAAAAAACGCUAACGAUUACAGUGGUGCCUCUUUACUGAGAGAAGUUGCUUCUAUCGGUUCGUCAGUUAUUUAAUCUUGUAGAUUCCAAGGAUUGAGUCUAAUAGAAAACUUGUUUUUACUCUAAAAUCGCCUCAAGGAGUUAAUAUUGUGGGGAAAAAAGGUCCUUUUUUUGUCACUUGUACAGCUUUUAUAGCUAACUCUCCCACAAUCUAACCGUUGUAAGUUUGUUAGUUUUUCCUGUCUUUUUUCCAUAUAUAUAUAUAUUACAAAUAAACUCAGCUGAAAAUACGAAGCAAUUAGACUUCAAAUUUGAAGCUCCGGGUAUUAAUCAUCAAGCCUUUUUGCCACUUGCAUUAGGAACGACCCGUCGCAUCAUACAAAUUAGCAUGAAUAUUAUAUAUAUUUCUUUUUUUUGAGAACUAAGUAGCACGCUAUUCGUUUCGUUUAUUUCAUUUAAGAAAUAAACUUAGCUGAAAAUGUAAAUUAAUUAGGAUUCGAACUUGGGACCUCGGGUACCAACUACCAAGCCCUUUGCCACUUGCUUUAGGGAUGGUCGGCAAUAUUAUAUAUAUUUCUAGAUCUAUUUUCUAUCGAAUUUAUAUUGUGUGCCGCAGCGCCCAAUUUGGAGUCUUGAGAACUGCAAUGGCGCUGGUUCCUAUUUAUCUUUCCUAAAAAAAGUUGAAUUGGUGGUCUAAUUCUUUAUUGCUAGAUCAAUGCACAACCAUUUACGCAAUGUAUUCUGAGGUGAUCACAUGAAUAUGCUAAUUCUCUAACUAUUAAUGGAGUGGACAUGGGAGCUUAAUUAGCAGAGUUCAAAAUAAGACCAUGGUUAGUACCAUGAAACAGAGGCUACUAUAAAUUAAUUAAGCUCAUUAGUGUAGGCAUUUGCAUAUAGAUUAUUCAUUGUAAAAUGGGAAAGAGUUGUUGAGAGGUCUAAAAGGAUAAAUUUGCUGUUGUUUGUCUCUUUCUUCAAUGUGCCUUAUACAAGUGGUUGAUUUUCUAAUAAGGCAGUCAAAAUGUUCUCUGAUUUGUAAUGUGUGUUUCAGAUAGUUCUUGUGCAUGUGCAUGUGUUAGAGAGAGAGAGAGAGAAAAUACCUUUUAGAUUAUCUAGAAAUUACUUGAUGCAUCCUAUGCCACAGUACAAUUUUAACAAGUUUAGUGUGACCGACCAUCCUUAGCGUAGGUGUCAAAGUGUUUAAUAGUUGGUACUCGAAAUUUCAAGUUCAAACUCUAAUUACUUUAUAUUUUCAGUUAAGUUUAUUAAUAAAAAUGAAUAAAUAAACGAAAUGGAUAGUAUACUAUUUUUUUCUCAAAAACAAGUUUAGUGUGCGACAGAGAUUUGACCAAGUUCUUACAUAAAGAAAAUUAAGCAAGCAGCGGUUGUUUUAUAUAAGUGCGACUGUCAAUUGAUUAAGAUUAGCUCAUUAAAGCUAGUUUUAAAUUGGAUUAUUUAUUAAUUGGUUCCCACGCGUUCGACUCAAAAUGUCAGUUAUGAACUGUAAUACAGGGGAAAAAAAAAAAGUUUAAGAGAAAGAAUAAAAUAAAAAGAGCAAGUUCUAGCUAAACUUAAAAUUCUGGUCAUUACAUUUUCCAAUCUACAUUAUUUGUGUAUAUCUAAUGCCGAGUCUAGUCUAAAGCUCGAAGUGUUAGAUGCGACUCGAAAUUGAUUAUCGACUCAAAUUCGGGUUUUCGACUCGCCGACAGCUUCGCGGUACGACCAAAUUGGAAAACAAUUUUGUGAAGGAAAAAUGAAUGUAUGUGGUUGGUAGUGGAGGGCUCGGAUCUAAAUAUUAAUUUGAUUAGGAAGUAUUUAAUAACUAGAACAACCAAAAUAGUACUGUAAUUACAGCGGUGUGAGGGGCGGAGCCCCCCGCGGUACUGAUCAGAUCCGAAAUCUGUUAUGAAUUUUCUUCUCGUUUUUGGCCCUAGAUGCGUGAGAUCGUGGUCGGUUGUAAUCUGAAGAACAUUGUAUUCCCUUUCGUUUCGAUAGUGAAGUUCUCUCCUCUCUCGCUCGUGAUUUUUUCUAGCAAAAAAUUUUUCACGUAAAUCUGUGUGUUAUCUUUAUUUUUUUCUUGUGGUUUGAGUGUUUCGUAUUCGUCAUUUUGUUUCCGUUUGUGCGUUUGUCGUAACACGAAGGGAUAAAUCAAUAUAUUAAAACUUAUUAAUAACAGGGCAGUUCUACUGAAUCUGCAUAAUUUUACAGGAAAGAUCCGAGUAAAUUGAAUUACUGGACGUUAAUACAUAUCGUCGCCUUUUACAUUACUUUUUCAUAAACCUUUUUCACUACUUCAAAAUGCGUAUAGGACAGUACUAUAAAUUUCACUUGAUAGUUUGGUAUAUGAUGCAGAAUAGUCUCAUUCAAUCACUCAAUCAUUCAAGCUGUAGAACACAAAACAACAAAGAGAACACUGUGUGAGGUGAGGAUGAAUACAUGUUAUAGAGCACCAUACAUUUGCAUGCUAAAAGGGCUAAUAAUGUAGCACUCCACUAUAGAUCCAAGAGAGAACACUCUGCAUGAAGGGAUUCAAAUUGGUUAGGUUUCCAUGAACUUUUUCUCAAUCUGCCAGAAGGGAUAGGUUUUUGUGGGUGCAGCUGAUCAGGAAGAAGGUCAAUCAGCCUCUUAUCUUUACCCAACAUAUGUACAGAAUGGAGGAUCAGAUUUGCCAUGAACAGCUCACAAGUGCUACAACAUGAUGUGGACAUGAAAAAUGUGAGACAAGUUUCUGUACUAUUCAUGUGCAACUGCUCCCCACUGUGAAGGAAAUGUUUUGUGAAACAACCAUUACGUAGGCUCGAACGAUGAAUCCAAAAUGUAAAUUUCAAUUAAAUAAGAAAAUUUUAAAUAAGACCGGAGACCUUAUGAAACUUCAAUGCAAAACUUCUUGUUCUGAUACCGUCUAAUGAAAUGUGGAACAUCCGUUACUCUCUAUAAACUUAAGCUGUUAUAGGAUGGUGUUUUUUUAAUAUUUAUAAUUAACAUCUAUAAUGUUCAUGGGCCACAUAUCACACCAAACUACCCAAUUCGAUAUUCUACAAUCAAGCAUUAAAAAAAUUACAUAUUAAUACAAAUUGUGAGAGUUUAACUCAAGUGAAAGUCUCUCUAACAAAAUAAAAAAUCAAUCUCAUUUAUUCGUUAAAUAUCUCAUUUACGUGCAUUGUAAUUCGAGUUACUAUUACUUCUAUUAAAGGGAAGAUGAAUGGUUGAGGUUGAGUGCGACGAAUUAAACUUUGCUUUGAUAAUGCGUCCUUAAGCUAGCUCGGCUCAAAUCUUCUAUCAUCCUUUUGUUAAGACUCUGUUUCAACGCUAGAAUAAGUAUUAUAAAGUAUGAUUUUAAUUUUUGCUUCUUAAAAGAAGUUUAAUCAUCUAUGAUUUAGUAGAAUAACAUAUUUAACUUAUAAAGUGAUAUAUCUUAUUCUGAGAAAAUGACUUAAAGACCGAACAUGGUUAUGUCAAUCUAGAUGCUUAAUCACAUUCUGAUUCAUCUCUCAAAUACUACAAAGUCUUAGAGUAACUUAAAAAGAUGUACUGAAAAUCAUGUUCUUGCAUCUAUACAGAACCUUAAAGUUACUAUAUCUCUUUGUUUGAGCUAUUCAAUUUAUAUGUGUGUGUGUGUGUGUGUGUGUGUGUGUGUGAGAGAGAGAGAGAGAGAGAGAGAGAGAGAGAGAGUCAUGAUCAUAAGAAAGAACUCAAGGGUCUUGUGAGGUGCCUUUCUUUAGGUACAUGCAGAAAGAAGGCAAAGAUGCCUUCCAAUUUGCAGGAGAAUGUUUGGGAGGGGGAUUCCUUUUAAUUUCAUCUGUCCUCAUGUUGACACAUGUGAGCCUUGUUUGUUUCUUCCCUUGUGAACCUUCUUGUCCACUAGAAAUAGCUUUAGUGGGACUCUCACUUUCCCACUGAUCAAUUAUAUGCAGGCCUCCUUGGGGUGCUUUUUAGCUGGUACCCAAAUUUGUUUCCUGUUUUCUACCUUCACAUUAUUGAUCAUCUGAAAUGUGACUGAUACACUGUUAUGCUUAUGUUCAGAAUAUUACACAGAAACAGCAGACUGUGGAUACAAUGGCAAUCAGCUGGGAACUUAUCUAGCCUAGUCCUGCAGUCACAAAUCGGAGUUCAGUCAGAAAUUUGGAGUGCCAAGUAGUAGAAGUCAACUACUUGCAACUUGGGAGUUCCGCCCGAUUUCCGCUUUGGGCAUGCACUUUGCCGCAAUAAACAUGUUCAACCGGGUUUAUUAAGAGCUGAAACAUUAGUCUUUUCAUUCAUAUUGAAGACAUUGAGAAUAUUCGACAAAUAACCAUGGGCAUAAAUCCUCGAAAAAAAUAUACAUAGAUUUUUUUUAUUGCAUCCUUCGAAGUGAAUCGCCCCAGUAUUAUGCUAGUUACUAAAGAGAUCCGUCCAAAUGCCUCCUAAGUUGAUAGCUAAAUCUCGGAAUUUUUGUAUAUCUAUCUCCGAAUGCUACUUCUCGGAUAUCAAGGGUCACUGAGAGUCUAAUGAGAUUUUAACUACGUUUUUUAGCUCUAAUAUAUCAUGUGAAAUAGCCGAUUACUUAGAAAGUUUAAACUGUCAGAGAAUAACAUUUUAAUAAUAUGUAUAUGCAGUACAAUGACAGUACAUCAUUUGCGCAUUCGAAUGGACGUAUACGUGUGCCUAAUCGACUAAUUGCGACAAUAUUGAGGGGACCAAGCUCAGUCACUCCUAGAAAGCAGGCAACAAGCUAUACGUGGUCUCUUGAUUCCAGUCCGACCUGCUCUUGCCUGUCUGCUUCGAACCCUGUUCCGGUCCUAUCAAUUUCUCGACGCCGGAGUUGAUCCUUUUCACCUUCUGACUCUUGUCUAAUGAUCCAAGAUGUGGACGUGAAGAACAAAAAAUUUAAGGCUUGUUUGGUUCAUUCAUUUUGAAUAUGGAAUGGGAAUCGGUUUGAUCAAAUCCGAUUAAUUUUGUUUGGUUCGCAUGAAUUGGUUUGAUAUUUCUAUUCCGGACUGGAAUGUGAAUGGCCCAUUAGCCUUCAACUUGAUUCCGAUCUUCUAGGCCGGAUUGAGAUUUCAUUCCGGAAGCCCACUAAGUUCUUGAAGCCCAUGUGACCAUCUCACCCUCCUUCUCUUCACCCCUUUCUCAUCAAAAAAAAAAAAACCCUAUCCUCUCUCAAAACUCUAUCCCUAACCUACAUCAAUAAAACUUUUUAAAAAUAAAUUUGAUAUUUUUUUGAAAAACUUAUUAGAGAAUAGUAUUAUAUUUUUCAUAAAUUUUAAAUAAUAUAAAUUUAUAUUUGAGAGUAAAAUUAGUAUUAUAAUAUUCUAUAAUUUUUUUAAUUUAUACGAACCAAACAAUGAAAUGUGAAUAACUCAUUCCAAUUUUCAAUCCACAAAUAAACCAAACGUCUUGAGGAAGUGGGCCAUUCCAAUUACCAUUCCAAUUUAUUUCCAUUCCAUUAUCUAUUCUAAUUUCACCCUUGAAACAAACAAGCCCUUAUAGUUAUUCGGUUCUCUGGCCUUUUUUUUUUUUUUUUCAUGAUUAAAACUCUUUGAAAUUUUUUGAUAAGGUUUCUACUUAGAGCUUCUCUUCAAUAGCAUACAAAAAUAAUAGGAAGAACAUGUUUCAAACUAGAAAAAUUUCUUAGGAAACUGAUUUUUUACUCCUUUUGGUUUCUGAAAUUCCUUUUAUUCUAAAAGCUCGUUUUAAUUUUUUUUUGUUUUUGUACGGUUAUUCUUCAAGGAGAAGAACCCUCACUCAUAGUGGCUAAUAUGCAAAAGAGGGGUUGGUAGGUUUGGCGCAUAAUCCUGUACUUUGUGUGGAGAUGGGCAAGAAACCGCUGACCAUUUAUUCUUUACAUUUGUUUAUUUUACGUACAUAGUUUCAUGUUCCUUUAAUUACAUUUAGGUUGUGCGGACAGAAGACGCAUUGAGAGAUUUGUGAGAAAUAAUGGUGCAAAGCAGAGACACUCGAAGUAGCAUAAAAGGGCAACUACAUUUUGGCGGCUAUUUAGUGAAUGACUUGGUUGGAAAGAAAUGACGGAUUUUUCGGGACAAAAGCAAGCCAUUGUAGCAUGUGGUUUUAGAAAUUCAAGUAUUUUUAGGACGGUGGAUAGACAUCUUUUGCAAAGUUAAAUUUGACUAUAUAUUUUUGAACUAAAAAGGAAUUUUUACAAGGCCAAACAAAUUCUAUAGCAAUUUAUAUAAUUUGAAAUCCGAGUUUGAUAGAUCCAUUUAUGAUUUAAAACGACAUGAUUGUGAAACUGAUCCAAACAGGGCCUAAACUUAGCAUGAAAAUGGUCCAAAAACUAGGGAUUGAUAGAUCCAUUUAAGAAGCCCAUAAAUGUGUUAUAUUGCCUAGUUUAGUAUAGUUUGAUAAUCACAGCUCAAUUAUAUGUAAUGGUUUUUUACAAACCUUUGUAUGUAGCGUAGGGGCAUUUGGGUCAUUGUAGGCCCUAGUCAUCUGGGCCGGAAACUAGAGAUCAGGCCCAAUCUGGAACCGAUGGCGCGAAGUUUAAAGCAACAUGAUCUUUAACCAAGUUUGCAUCUUAUUCUUCUCCUUUUGUUGAGGAAAAUUUUCGUUUUACUUAUUUCCACCCCACAAACAAAAAAAAAAAAGAAAAAAAAAAUUCUACAGUAUAUGAGGACCAGUAUAUCACACUGCUCAGGGGGAAACAAGAACUAAGAUUAGCUUUUGUCUCACUCUCUCUGUACCAUCGAACUGUUCCAUGCAAUUGCGAAGCAAACAUAAACUAACCACAAUACAUUUAACCUCAUAUAUACAAUAAUAACACGCAAAAUGACCAAAGCACUCACUUGUCACUAUUCACAAUAGGCUUUUGCCUCCACUGGAGACCAUUGGUAAUGGUGUUCUAUCGGCCAGUGAGGUUAUUCUUUGGAGCAGCGAUAAAUACAAACAAAGUUCACACACACACACACACAAAUCCCUUAAAAAGUUGGAUUGUGGGGCACAAUCUAUUUUGGACUCUUAAAACUAAUGAAGCUCUGCUAUGGCCUUAGAUUUGGAAAGGAUGAUUGGUCCAUACACAAAUCAUUCAAGUCCUGUAUCACCCCCUUUUAAACUCACCCAGUUGUGGAUAUAAGGCUCUCUCUUUGUUGGUAUGUGAGAAUUUUGGGGUUUGUGAGCUGGUACAAUGAUUUAGAUAGAGACCCCUUGAUCACAUGUUCCUCUGUGUUAAGUUUUUUUUUUUUUUUUCUCUUUUUUACGUACGGCAAAUUAUUAAGUUAAUUUACUGUGCUCGUUCAGAUGUUUACAGAGAUCAACAAAUUAGUCGCCGUCCCUAGAGCAAGUGGUAAAGAGUUUGGUGGUUGGUACCCGAGGUCUCAAGUUGAAUCCUGAUUGAUUCACAUUUUCAACUAAGUUUAUUUCUAAAUAAAAUAAACGAAGUAGGUAGCGUGCUAUCCAUCUCUAAAAAAAAAAACAAAUUAGGCACACAACACUACCUCAUGCACGAUCUUCAGACUAUUGGAAAAUAGGGUGUGACAUAUUUAUUGGUGUUUGUACAGUCCAAAAGCUUAAACCAUUAUGUUUAUUCCAAUUUUAUAUAUCAAUCAUUAUACGAGAUUAUUGAAUUUUAUAAACUGAACCAAAUAUAGUAAUAUUAUAAAUAUUACAAUUCAGUAUUAUAUUACUGUAUUAAACCAAACGCGCUGAUGCAACAUCAAUAGUAAUCUCAUUUAGAAAUCCAAGACAUCUGGAUAUAUCGAAAUACUCUGUAAUAUUACAUAACUUGAACUAAAUGCACCCUACAGUGAGCCAAUACCGACCUUCCAUAGCGCAAGUGACAAAAAAACUGGUAGUUGGUAUCCGAGAUUCUAAGCUCAAUACCUAGUUGCUUUAUAUUUUCAACUAAAUUUAUUUCUAAGAAAAAGAAUAAAGCAGGUAGCACGCUACUUUUUACUCUAAAGAAAAAAAUGCCAAUCGGCCAUAAUCUAAAAGAAAUUUAUUUGGGCUUUUACUUUUAUUUGCCUGGGCCGCAUAAAUGAGGGCCAAAAUACCCAAAAGUAUUUUGGGCUUAAUUAAAGAUUUAGGCCCUAAUGUAAUUCGUCCCCGAUCCGGCCCAUUUAACUGACCCGGUCCAUAAUCGAAUUCGUAGACCAGGUCCGAGGAGACAUUCCUCACGAGGACGAGCGAAAGUCGGCGUCGGUAACGCCGAGGAUCGUAACCGCUCCACACACCGAGUCCACAUCAUAGAGUAUUAUGUACCUCCGAGGUAGGGGGAGGUUAAAAAAAAGGAGGAGAAAAGCGAGCGAUAGCGAAAUAAGAGAGAGUGUGCUCACAUGGAAGUGGGAGCGAUUUUUGGUGCCUACUAGGGCAAGUAGGUAAGCAGAAGCGCUUCAGGAAGAAGCUGAUAGAGAGCGGAGAUGAUGAAGGAGGCGGGGGAUGGGUUUGUGAGAGCGGAUCAAAUCGAUCUGAGGAGCCUGGAUGAGCAACUAGAGAGGCAUCUGAGUCGAACGAGGACGAUGGAGAAGAAGAAGAGGAGAGAGGAGGAGAGGGGAUUGGGGGGAGGGGAGAGGCGUGGGGAGGAGUGGGAGAUCGAUCCCUCGAAGCUUGUGAUCAAGGGGGUCAUCGCCCGAGGCACCUACGGAACCGUCCAUCGGGGGAUCUACGAUGGCCACGACGUCGCAGGUGAGAUUGGGAAUAAUGUGUUCGUAAUCUCCAGAUUCCAUCAAUUUUUGGUUUUGAAUCGAUUUUCAUAUCAGUGUAUUCUACUAUUUGUUAAUUUAGCCAGGAAAGGUUUCAGCUUUAUGCCCUAAAGUUUAACUUUUGAUCACCAUUAAAGCACAUUGAAAUUGUACUUUUCCUUGAAGCGAAAAGUGGAAAAGAAAUUCGCUGCUAACAUUUUGCUGUACUGUUUUGGAAGUUUUACUUUAGUUUAAUGCUGUUACCCACCAAAUCGAUCUAGUAGGAAGCAACCAAGGAAUAGUAUUAUCACUUUGCGUCGCGUGCAUGGCGGAGGUUAGGUAAUCCGUGUUACUCACAAUGACGAGAGAGAUCACGGAACAAGUACAGGGAUUUACCCCUUUAAAUAGCAGAGGUGGGCAAUUGAACCCAUGAAUGUCCGGGGACUUGAGACCAGCUCUAAUACUAGGUUAUGAGUCAAAUCAAUCUAUUAGGGAGCAUUCCAGUAAUGGUCCUAACAAACACCAGGAUCAAUUAAUCUGAUUGGUUUGUUGUGAGAAGUUGCUUUCAUGUCAUUUUCACUCCCUUUGUGAGCAAGAGUUGAAGCACACUUUUAGAAUAUCUUCCUUUUGGUUUUGUCAAAUUGCAUGUUUUAGAUUGCGGUUUGUAGAUUCGAAGUUGGGCUCGCAUUGCCUUGUCGUUAGCAAUGCAAAGGUCUUCAACUGAUUCCUUUCUCUACCUUAGCUACUGGUGCACUUUGUGUUUCGUUAAAAUAAUGUUUGUUUUGGAACUCUUAUGUGAUCCCAACCAACCAUUGAUUGAUAGAUAAAAUUAAGGAAUUUAAGGGCAUGUUUGGUUGGAAGGAUUUGAGGCUUGGAAUGGGAAUCAGAAUGAUCCAUUCCCACUGUUGAUAUUUAGUUUGAGGGAAUUGACACUCCGAUUCCCAUUUCGAGGGGGAAUUGUAUCCCCCUAAAACGAUUCCCUCCAUGGAGGUGGGAAUCAACUUUGAUUCCAGAUGGGAUUGAGAAAAGAACUUUUUUUCACUAACAAUAAUUUAAAUUCAAAUAUUAAUUUAUAUUUAAUUUUAAAUUAUGAUUUUAUAUUUGAAUUUUGAAUUAUGGAUUCAAAAUUUAUUUUAAUUUCUUAAGUUCAAGUUUAAAUUCUAAUAUAAGUUUGAUACUUGAAUUAGUUCUAAAAUUUAAAUUUUCAUUUUGAACUUGAAUUUGAACUGUAAAUUCAAAUUGUGAGUUUAAAAAUUUGGAUUGAAAUUUUUAUUAUGAAUUUAAAUAGUAAAUUUAAAUUUUAAUUAAAUUUAAUCUUUUUGAAUUUUAAUUUGAACAUGAUUCCGAUUCCGAUUCCGAUUCCGAUUCCUCUUCUAAACCAAACAAAUUAGAGUUUUUAUUGUUACGUUUUCAAUUUAGGUCCAUUCCUAUUCCUCUUCCUAUUCCGAUUUCAAUUCCCAUUUUGAACCAAACAUACCCUAAAAAGUAUUUGAUAAGUUAAAACCUUCAAUAUUUCAAUUCAAACUCAUCUUUUUUCACAGUGAAAUUGCUUGACUGGGGGCAGGAGGGUACCAGGACAGAAGCUGAAAUUGCUAAACUGAGGGAUGAUUUUCUUCUUGAGGUUUCUGUUUGGCAAAAGCUUGAUCACCCCAAUGUAGCAACAGUAAAUUUUCCCCUUGUUUCCUUUUAUGCUAAUAGGUUUGUUUGGUCAUUAAUUUGCUUAUUCGCUCUCUAUCCUUCAACAUGCAUUUCCACCAAUUUUUCAAGCAAUUUGCUUUUGUGGUUGAUAAUAGAUUUUGGGUCAAAUGAAAAAUAAAAUUUUCAAAAUGAAAUUAAUUGUUCACUUUUGUGCGAGAAACACAUUAUUAGAUCUGUGACAUCUGUCUACUGCAGCUAGAAAGAUACAGCGAACAAGCACUAGAUGAAAAUUAAAAUAGAUAUACUAUUUACUAAAGAUACUACCAAUAACGAGUUGUAUAUUAUGUCUAAUUUUGAUGCAAGGACAAGUUGUGGGCUUUCUGAAUUUUCAUAUAGAAUUUAGUUACCUUAUGUCAUUUCAAAUUACACAGUGUGACUUUAUGCCUACACAUGAUUGAAGGGCUGCUCACUUGGAUUUUAAAACCUCUCCUGCAUAAAGUGUCACAUAAUGAAUGAUGUAUAAAGUGCUAUCGUUGCAAAACAUGUUAUAGGGUAUUCUGUUUAAAAUUUCAUAGCUUUUAAUGAUAUGCACUACAAAUAUACAUAAGAAACAAAUAUUGAAAUUGUGACGCUCCUAAAGCAUAAAAUCUAGCUGCUAGCAAAACAUUGUAUUGGACUGCAUCUGUUUACUCUGUUCAAAUAAAUUUAUUUCUGAUUUAUAGUUAACAAAGUCAAUCUCUCGGCUAGUUGAGUUCCUGCUUGAUUUAAUAGGUCUUGAAGCUAAUUUGUACUAUAGAAAAUAUUGAUUGCUUACCAUGGUACAAAGCAAAUGGUGGUGCCAUAUGCGCUUUCAGCAUAACACAGUUUUUCUACUAGUUUCAUCAUGUUUAAGAAAUGCUAGAAGUAUUCUGCUAAAGACUAUAGUUGUUUGUGUCAUCAACAUGACAACGUGUAGUAUUCAACAUCUCAUUUUGAACAAUCUGCAUAUGCUUCUUUCAACCUAAGUAAUUUCUUCCUUUUUUUUUUCAAGCAACAAUCAUGACAUUAACUUCUACAAACAGUUCAUGGGGGCUGCAACAGGUGUGAGAGAUUUAAGCAUACAGACAGAAAAUGGUAAUCUUGUGGUACCAAACAAUGUUUGUUGUCUUGUGGUUGAGUACCUUCCUGGAGGUACGCUGAAAUCAUUUCUUAUAAAAAAUCGGAGAAGAAAGCUUCCGUUCAAAGUUGUUGUCCAACUAGCUCUUGACCUUGCAAGAGGGUGAGUAUCAACCUAUCUGCUUUCAAUGAGUUUCUAGGUUUAUUUCUGGGUCAGCUAUAAAUUUAGUCCCUGAAAUUCGAUUCAGAUCUCAAUUUAUUUCUCAGACUUUCAAUUGAAACAAUUAAGUACCUGAAGUUUGGCCUUGAUUUCCAUUUCGUCCUCACAGGGUGAAAUUGAAAUGAAGGUCAAACUUCAGGGAGACUUAUUUCUUUUACCAAUUUUUUUCCCCUGAAUUUGUUGGCAUCUUCAGUUAGGCGGCUAAGUUCCUAUUUGGCCUGGCUCUCAAACAGCUUUUCUGCUCCAGAAAGAACAUUCCUGAAAUUAGACAUACAAGUAGUCUGCCGCUUUGGCAUAAAGCUAAAACGAGCUUUUGAUAUCCAGAAGCACAAGCUCCAAUUUGAAGCUUCUCGUGCAGCAGGAAGCUGUUAUUGCUUCAUUGAAUGAAUUUUUUUUAUAAAUAAUCCUAUCGAUUUUUAUAAUUGUAAAAUUAAUUUUUUUAAAAAAAUAAUUUUAAAAAUAGACCUCUAAAUGCGGUGAAUGAUUCACCGCAUUCAUAACUCCUCAUUAGGAGUAGAAAAAGAAUAAAAACGGUGAACCAUUCACCGGUAAAAAACGGUGAACCAUUCACCACUUUUACCAUCAUAGAAAUAUAGAAAGAAGUAAGAAAAAGAAAGAAAGCGGUGAAUGAUUCAUCGCUUUUAAAAGCGGUGAACCAUUCACCACUUUUAUAGGACCAUAUUUAUAAAUAAAAAUUUAAUAGGUCUAUUUUAAGAAUAAAAUUUUAGGAGAAGACUAUUGCACUAAAAAACCCUCAUUGAAUAGCUUUACUCCAACAGCAUUCUUGCAGAAGCUGUAGCCAGUCUAAACAGGCCCUUAAACCAUGAAUUAAAUUCUAUACUAGCUUUCAACCUUUCAGGUUGUUCUUUGCUUGAAAUGGACACAUUUUACUUGUUUCCAUAGAUUGAGUUAUCUUCAUUCAAAGAAGACUGUGCACCGUGACGUGAAGACUGAAAAUAUGCUGCUAGACAAAAUGAGGACAGUAAAAAUUACUGAUUUUGGUGUUGCUCGAAUUGAGGCUCAAAACCCAAAUGACAUGACGGGUGAAACUGGAACCCUUGGUUACAUGGCACCUGAGGUACACCAUCAUUAGUAUUAUAGUUAAUCAUGUCUUUUCUCUUUUUUAGUACUUUUGCAACUUAAAUUGAGUAUUCAGGCUGCCCAAUGCUGCAUAUCUGAUUUCAGAGAGAGCGGCCUGUAUGAGCACUAUAUGUAUGAACAAUUUCAUAGGCUACUGUAGCAUGUAAUGAUGUAAUUCAGUACCUUCCUUGUGCUUUUUUUUUUAUUUUAAAAAUUUUGAUGCUUCCCUUCAUCUUAACAUGCUGCAAAUAAAUUGUGACAAGUAUGUAUCAUGUGCCACUAGAAGAUAAUACAGAACAACUAUAAUUGUGGCAAUUAGGUUGGGAACAACUGACAUGAAAAUAUAAGAGAAAAUUGCUUUAGAUGGAUCAAACAUUUCCAGGGUGCACCAUGUGUAGUAUUAAGAUGCAAUAUUUACUGCUAAUCUUUAAAGCGAAUGGUCCUUAAGAGCAAAGUAAUCAAAAUGGAAACAACCAAUUACAAUUUUCCUGGCUAUUGGAUAGUUGGUCGUUCCUAGACAUUCAAGAAACUUGCCUUUAGAUAGAACUAAGUAACCUACAGUAUCAGAUAAUUCAUUUUAUGAGGAACUUCAAAAUACUUGUGUGAUUUUGAUUAGGUCUUUAAACAUUACUGUAAGUAACGGGAAAAAUAGAAAAGAAAACAUAAGACAUAAUUUCUUUGUUUUCUCUGAUCACCAAUAAUUUGACAUCCUCUGGACUAACUACAGGUUCUCAACGGCAAUCCUUACAACCAUAAAUGUGACGUCUAUAGCUUUGGGAUUUGUUUAUGGGAAAUAUACUGUUGUGAUAUGCCAUAUCCCGAUCUGAGCUUCACGGAGAUCACCUCUGCUGUUGUCCGACAGGUAACACCAUUUUUUCUGCUCACCAUUGCCUCGUGAGUCGUGUGUGCUUAGAAGAAUGUUUUCUAGCGAAGACAAAAAGCUGUUAAAAUCACUAAAACCCUGUUAGUUUUUGCUAAUUGAAAUGAGACCAAGCAACUUUAGUUUAGUGCAAAUUAACGAUCUAUUUCUUUUUCCCAUUGUGAUAAGGCCCAUAAAGUUUAAUUUGAGUUGGAAAGGAAAAAACUUAAACUCACCAACUGUACGACAUUAUGGUAGAUUUCUACGCCAAUCCUACUUAACAACAUUAGAUAGUUAAGUUGUUUCCACCAAAUCAAGAUUUUGGGGUAAAUUGUAACAACGAAAAGAAGUUUAUGGGUUCUUCACUAAAUCGAAGUUCAUGUAUCAAAAUGUAACUGGGGAAAGGGUUGGUCAGUCUAUGUAAUAAUUUUAACCCAAAAAUAGAAUGGUCCAAAAUUGCAGAACUUGAGGCCGGAGAUACCGCGGUGUUGCCCGAGCUCUCUAGCUACCGUGAUGAAGAGGUGUUGGGACGCUACCCCGGAGAAGCGGCCCGAGAUGAACGAGGUGGUGACCAUGUUGGAGGCGAUCGACACGUCGAAGGGUGGGGGAAUGAUCCCCCUUGAUCAACCGCAGGGAUGUUUCUCCUGCUUUCGGAGACACCGGGGCCCUUGAUCUAUCUGACAAGAAUAUCUACAACUAAUUAGUAUUCCUAAGAACACAAUAAUUGUUAGCCUAUUGUGUUCUUGGUGAACUUGGUUAGUAGACCUAACAUAGUAGAAGUUUAUGAUGUAAAGAUUUUGCUUCUCUCUCUCUCUCUCUCUCUUCCAACUUUUUGUGUAUGAAGUUUCAGGCUAGUCAUUUUAAGUGACUGGCUUUUGAGUAGUGCUAUGGAUAAUUCUACAUUAAAUUUGUUUUGUUUGGUGUUCUUUUAUUAUUCUCUAAGACAGUAAAUAUGAGUAGGAUGGGAUGAUAAUUGGGAAGCUGGUGCCAACAAUUGAAUUGUCAAUUGUAUUAUGCUUGAAAGAGAUUUAUGGUAUGGAUAAAUUAUUGGUUGGACAAUCACUACCUUUUUGUUUUUUUUUAAUAAUUUAAAGGAAAUUAUUCAUUGACUUGACCACUUCAAAUCCAACACAUUAUUCUGAAUAUAAAAUGCUCUUAUAUUUUCGAAUUCUUCUUUACUAGCCCUUCAUUUAAAUUUCUUUUGAUCUCCAAUCAAAGUUCUAGGAAUCUCUUUAAUCCCAUGUUUGGCAUUUUUGGUCUCGUCUUUUUUGCCAAAAGAAAUAAAUAAGAGAUUAGCAUUUGUUUCUCCAAGCUUGGUUUUUAAUUAAAAAAAAUUUUAAAAAAAUUAUUGCUCAGUUACAAAUAUAUGAACCUUCAAUGAAGUGGACAAGGCCAUCAAAUUAAAGAAAAUGAAAAAUCCUAGCCAAAUCUUUCUUGUGACGAUCUUUAAAAAUUAGGAGCGAAUUAAUAAAAAGCUUUAGAUUACUCAACACAAAAAGGAAAUAUCUAAAUAUCCUUCGUUAUGGUUGUAACUAAAUCAAUUAAUAAUUUACUGCUAAUGAUUAGUUCUCCUCUUAGACUUCUUUAGUCUCCUAAUUUGUACAUUCACAAAAAGGAAGAAACUUAAAACAUCUCAUAAUCUCACCAUAUCCCCCAAUAAAUUAUGAAGAGACCAUUAAGCUUUUAAUAAGAACAAGUAGACCCUCUACUUAGAUCCAAACUUAAAGAAUCCAGCUGUAAGAUUCUUUACUCAUCGGCGCCAAGUACCUUCCUGUGUCCAAAUUAACUAAACAUUUCAAUAACCAAUACAAGAAGCUGAGUGGAAAGCCCCAGCCCAGGUUCCCAGUUUUUCAGCUGUUUGGUUUGGUGAAUCUUACUCUCAAAUCAAAUCACGAAAUUUGGUUGUUGAAACCGGACUCGAAUAGUCGUAACUAAAUGAGCCAAAAAUAUGCAAGCUAAGCUAAACUCUUAAGCUGACUCAGUUACGUAACUGCGAUUGAUUGAGCUAAAGCUAGCUCAUUUGAUUUCGAGUCGAACUCAUGAAUCACUCACUUCACUGCGUAGCCUAAGGUACGAGGCCGACGACGACUACUACUACUACUAAGGAUUUUAUCCGUAUGAAAUGGUGAUAGCAUUAGUGUUUUUUUUUUCUCUCUUAUAAUUAUUGUCUAUUAUACUGUAAUAUUUUUCUAGUAUUUUUGAGCAUUAGUUCCGUAAGCAAGGUAGGUUACUUGUAAACUUAGCUCAUUAAUUAAACAAUUCAUUGAGAUAGAUUGCUAAGCCAAAUUUUGGGCCAAACAUGAGUUAUAAUAGGUUUGGACGCACAGAAUUUACACAUUGAAUUCAGCCGGUUUGAGAAAGUCGAGCUUUCACAUAUUCGAAUGGAUGCUGAAAGUCGGCAAAAUAAAUCAAACUCGAAACAUUCUAUUCUCGUAUUUGGUUCGACUUUGCGCGGACCCAAAGCAAAGUCGAUCUCGACCGAAUCGUGAAUUACAUGGACUCGAUCUACGGAUAUCAAAACACCCUCUUCGUCCACAAACAAUGACCUCUUUUUUUUUAGAAAGAGAAAGAAAGCUAGCGAGCUAUCUAUUUUGUUUAUUUGAUCUUAAAAAUAAACAUAAUUAAAAUUUAAAUUUAAAAUUUUAGAUAUUAAUUAUUAAAAUUUCAGUGAACUGAACUAUAGAUACGGUGGAUACCAUGAGCUCAAUUUGGGGCCCUACACUCAAAAGUGUGGGAGGAUCGACGACGCGUUCAAAUUCAAUGGCCCAACAGAAAAGUCUCCCCGAUCGCUUUGACCGCCUCCACGUUCAAUCCAGCAUCAUCAAAUCACCACCGCACGAAUCUCAACCCUCCAUUGCUACUAUUUUUAUUUUAAUUUUUAAUUUUUAGUUUUUGGUAGAAAUGUAUAAAGACCCCUCAACUAUAGGCCGUUAUGAAAAACGAACCUCAACUUUAUUCUUGUUUUCUGAAUACUUCUUUAAUUUUCAAAUAUUUUGAUUUUAUAUUUUUAUAACAAAUAAAAAAAAUUAAAAAAAAAAUUAAGUCUUUACUUGGGAUUGCAGGAGCAAUGCACUAUAUUUUAAAACUAAUCAUAUUUUAUAUAAAUCAUCAUAAUUAUUAUGUUACAAUAUUAUAUAUUUUUGUUGCUCGAUUAGAAACUUUUUUUGUUCUAUCAAAAACUACAAAAAAUAUUUUUUUGGCCAACAAUAUUAGAUAGCCCUUUAUACAAUAUGAAACUUAAACCGAUUAGCUAUUGCAAGUUAAUCGAUCUAACUUUAUUCACUACAUAAAAUAGUUUACACUAUUAAAAUUAAUAAAAUUACCAACUAAAUUAGAGAAAUUUCAAAUUUCAUUUGACUAACAUUACUUAAUUUUUAAAAAAUCAAAAAUUUGAAAAGGUUUAAUUUAAAAAACUAAACUUGAGAAGGUUUCAAUUUCAGAAUCAUCUAUAAUUGAGGGGGCUCCAUACAUUUUUACCUUCUGUGGAUCCUUUAAAACGAAACAACCCGACCGUCGCCACCGACUCCCUCAAAAUCCACGUUACUACCGCACGCGUCUUCGUUCGACCCAACCCCAUAAAUAAAAAAAGAAAGGCGAAAACUCCCCAACCCCAUUCUCCUCCUCCUCCUCCUCCUCCUCCUCCUCCUCCUCCUCCUCUCCCUCUUCGUCUCCCUCACCACGAAACCCUAACGCCAAUUUCUCCCUAACCCUUGCCCCCCAAAAGCCAUCGCCGGUCCACCUGCGUCGCCAUGGGCCACGCGCUCCGGGGGGAGCAGCUGAAGCAGCUACGCGACAUCUUCGGGCGGUUCGACAUGGACGCGGACGGGAGCCUGACGCAGCUGGAGCUCGCGGCGCUGCUCCGGUCGCUGGGGCUGAAGCCCAGCGGGGACGCGAUCCACGCGCUCCUCUCCGGGAUGGACGCGAACGGCAACGGCGCGGUCGAGUUCGAGGAGCUCGCCGCGGCGAUCGCGCCGCUGAUGACGCAGCGGGCCCUCGUGGACCAGGCGCAGCUCCUCGAGGUGUUCCGCGCCUUCGACCGCGACGGGAACGGCUACAUCUCCGCCGCCGAGCUCGCCCGGUCCAUGGCGCGGAUGGGCCAGCCCCUCACCUUCGUCGAGCUCACGCAGAUGAUGCGCGAGGCCGACGCCGACGGCGACGGGGUCAUCAACUUCACCGAGUUCGCCGCCGUCAUGGCCAGGUCCGCUCUCGACUUCCUCGGCCUCCCCGUCUCCUAGGGUUUCCUCCUUCCUUGCUUUUUUAGGGUUUCCUCUUCUUCUUCUUCGUCGUCUUCGUCGUCGUCUUCGUUUCUAGGGUUCGUAUUGGACCGGAGCUCAGCUGGUUGAGAUAUCUUGAACCGGGUUCACGAAAUCAUGGAUCUCGCAAAUUAGAGAGUUUCAUUUGUAAAUAUAUUGAUAUGUAUCAUAAAUCAUAAUGCUGAUGAUGUAGACAAGGCCAAAAUGUAUGGACACCACCUCAACUAUUCGCCAUUUUGAAAUCGCCCUCUCAAUCUUAAUUUUUUUUUUUAAAAAAAAUUUCUUUGAUUAUUAUUCUCUCAACUUUAAAUUAGUUAGCAAUUGAUUUUUUAAGAAAUAAAAUAAAUGAAAAAAAGUUAGAAUUUAAGAUGGUGCAAACCACAAAAAAAAAAAGAAAAAAAGAAAAAACCAGUAAAGUUGAUGGCCCUAUUUCAAAAUCGACUAUAGUUGAGGGGUCUCUGUACAUAUUCAGCUAAUGAUGCUUCUGAUGAUUAUGAUGAUUGGUUAAUAAGAGUUUGGGAGCUUCUAACGGGCUCUAUUUUCUCAGAAUGAUGGAUAAAGAGAUAAAAAGAAAAAAUAUAUUUAUGAAAGUGUAAUUAUUAUUCUGUUUUUUUGUACCAUUUGAUUCUGGACAUGUUUUUUGUUUCUUUCUUAUGCUCUUGCCAUUGUUUGUUGAGAGAUUUUGAUUCUUUAUGGUAGAGCACUUGAUAAGAGAUUUCGCCCUUCUCCCUAAUUUUUCUCUCCAAUUCUCGCGGGUAAAUUGCACUGUUACUUCCUAACUUUUGGCCAAUUUUUUUUUUAUCUUCCAAACUUAUAAAAUAGAUAUCUAAAUUUUAAAUUCUAAAAUUUUAUUCAUGUUAUUAUUUUCAUUAGUUUUCGAUUAUCGGAGUUUAAAAAAUGACGGAAAGGAUAAUAUAAAUGAAAUAUUAGAGCGUAGGAUGUUAGGUAAUUAUUUUAGGAAUUUGAAAGAUAAAAUAAAAUUUCACCAAAAAUUCGGAGGUAAUAGUGUAAUUUAUUCCAAUUCUGGCUGUAACCUUGUUUAUCUUUGGGUAAACUUGAAUUUACUCCUUAUGAUUUAGUUUAUUUUUAUUUUAUUAUUUGGUGGUUAAAACAAUUACACUUACUCAUCUUGUCAUUUUUUUUAAUACAAAAAAUUUAUUAGCAAAUAAGAUAGUAAAAUAAUUUUUUUUUAUAACCUCAUAAUAGGUUGCUGAAUUAUAAAGCAAAUCUAAACUAAAUCAUAUAAAAAAUAAGUAUAACUUUUAAAAUCUUGAAGUGACAAAGUACCAGGAAAAAAAAAAAAAAAAAAUAACCACUUGGGAGCAAAUUNUUUUUCACUGUCUUUUGUCCCUUCUUAUUGAUUAUGACUUGGGACAUCGUCUUCGCUCUAAAAAUGGAGAUGCAUCCUAAAAUAGAUUAUAUUAUAAUAACUAAACUGUUAUUUAUAUCGUACAGUAUAGCAAACCAUUUAACGAAGGAAUCUGCUAUAUUUAAUUAAUUUUUAUAUGAUCUUUUAAAAAGUAGAUAAGCUAAUACCACUUUAUGCACAAACCAAUUGGCAAUUUUACUAAUUUAUUUAUUAUUUAAUUACUUAAAAUUAUUAAAAUAUGAGGGAUGAGACAUCAUCAAUCCAAGAUGUCAUCGUUUGAUCGGACUUGUAGUGUGAUCUACUUGAGAGCUCCGUUGUAGAGAAUAACUUCCCUGAUCUGCCGUACCUAAUUCGAUGUUGAUGGGUGAGCUUUUCGAUUUCAUUAGCCAGCUCAUCGGAUCGUUAGACAGUUUAUUUCUAUUUCUAUAAUUAAAGGCAGCUUCGUCACAAAUAGGUAAAAAAAAAAAAAAAACUGCAGUGCUGUUUUGGCCCUACAUAAUGUCGGCUCUAUGUAGCUUCGAAUAAGACGUGUUUGAUAUGAUAUAAUUCUAAAUCAUAUCAGCUAGAAAAAAGUAACUUUAAACAAAAAAUAUAUUUAUAUCCCUAAUAAUUAUUUUAUAUAUAUAUAUAUAUAUAUAUAUAUAUAUAUAUAUAUAUAUAUAUAUUUACAUAUUUGGUAUAAUCUCACCACUUCCUAUAUGAGAUAAUAAAUCUCUCAACUGAAUGCAUCCAAAUAAAUCAACACGAUAAGAGUAGAGAAAACCAUCCACCAGCACAUCCAACUCCAUGAAACUUUAUUUAUG